Molecule: microRNA precursor, 84 nt
Filed under: Bombyx mori (domestic silkworm)
Lineage: Eukaryota; Metazoa; Arthropoda; Insecta; Lepidoptera; Bombycidae
Description: mir-2807 microRNA precursor family
Rfam family: mir-2807 microRNA precursor family
Source: Rfam by way of RNAcentral
UUAGCUCAUAUUUGUAUGGAAUUGGAUCGUUUGUCUACGUUUGCCGCUAGGGGCGCUGUUCCAACUGCAUACAAUUAUGAGUUA